UGGAGCGCAAGUCUGGUGACCAGACACCCAACUAAGGGCAACCGGGGGGCGCCGGGAGGCAGGGUCCGGGACAGGCGGUGGCUCGCCUCGCG
Sinocyclocheilus anshuiensis is the source of this 92-nucleotide long non-coding RNA. RefSeq lists it as uncharacterized. The transcript is spliced from 3 exons. NCBI's taxonomy places the organism in Eukaryota, Metazoa, Chordata, Actinopteri, Cypriniformes, Cyprinidae. The record is from RefSeq and is a predicted model, not a curated record.